Molecule: long non-coding RNA, 929 nt
Filed under: Marmota monax (woodchuck)
Lineage: Eukaryota; Metazoa; Chordata; Mammalia; Rodentia; Sciuridae
Source: RNAcentral
AUCACUAUCAUAUGAUGACUUCAAUUCUUCAGGAUAAAUACCAAGGAGAGGUAUAGCUGGAUACUAAGGUGGUUGCAUGCCUAGUCUUUUGAGGAACCUCCAUACUUAUUUCCAUAGUGCUUACAUGAAUUUAUAAUGCCACCAAAGGUGUAAAAGUGUUCCUUUUUCUCUACAUCCUCUCCAGCAUUUAUCAUAGUUUGUAUUCUUGAUGACUGCCAUUCUGACUCUUGUGAGAUGAAAUCUCAGUGCGGUUUUGAUCUGCAUUUCCCCCUAAUUGCUAAUGACAUUGAACAGUUUUUCAUAUAUUUGUUGGCCAUUUGUAUUUCUUCUUCUGUGAAGUGCUUGUUCAGUUCCUUUGCCCAUUUAUUGAUUGGGUUAUUAUUAUUAUUUUUUGGUGUUUUCUGAGUUCAUUGUAUAUUCUAGAUAUGAAUUCUCUGUCCGAAGAGUAGAGAGCAAAGAUUUUCUCCCAUUCUGUAGGUUCUUUCUUCAUGUUCCUAAUUGUUUUCUUUGCUGUGCAGAAGAUUUUUAACCUGAUGUCAUCACAUUUACUAAUUCUUGGCAUAUUAAUUCUUGAGCUUUAAGAGUCCUAUUGAGGAAGUUAAUGCCUAUGCCUAUAUUCUGGACUGUUGACCCACCAGUUUUGUCUAGAAGUUGCAAAGACCUAAUUCAUAGGUCUUUGAUCCAUUUUGAGUUGAUUUUUGUGCAGGGUGAGAGAGAGGGCCUAGUUUCCUUCUUCUACAUAUGGAUAACCAGUUUUCCUAGCACCAUGUGUUUUAAAAGGCUGUCUUUUCUCCAGUGUAUGUUUUUGGAUCCUUUGUCAAAACCCAGCUGACUGUAUAUGUGUGGGUUUGAGUAGUUAUGUUUUAGAUGCUUAUUCUCGUUUGCUGGGAAAGCAGCCUGGUAUAAAGGGGAGAAUAUGAACUUUGGAG